This 347-nucleotide ribosomal RNA is filed under the name uncultured bacterium. Its description in RNAcentral is "partial 16S ribosomal RNA". It matches the Rfam family "Bacterial small subunit ribosomal RNA", at positions 338 to 682 of the family's 1533-position model. The record is from RNAcentral.
CCUACGGGGGGCUGCAGUGAGGAAUAUUGGUCAAUGGGCGUAAGCCUGAACCAGCCAAGUCGCGUGAGGGAUGAAGGUUCUAUGGAUCGUAAACCUCUUUUAUAAGGGAAUAAAGUGUGGGACGUGUCCUGUUUUGUAUGUACCUUAUGAAUAAGGAACGGCUAACGCCGGGCCAGCAGCCGCGGUAAUACGGAGGAUCCGAGCGUUAUCCGGAUUUAUUGGGUUUAACGGGGGCGUAGGCGGCCUUUUAAGUCAGCGGGGUCAGUCUGGGGCUCACCCAUAGAAUUGCCGUUGAAACUGGUAGUCUUGCGUAUGUUUGCGGCCGUCGGCAUGCGUGGUGUAUCGGU